This is a small nuclear RNA of Schistocerca cancellata (South American locust), 187 nucleotides long. RefSeq annotates it as U2 spliceosomal RNA. The record is from RefSeq and is a predicted model, not a curated record. The transcript has a single exon. Lineage: Eukaryota; Metazoa; Arthropoda; Insecta; Orthoptera; Acrididae.
AUCGCUUCUCAGCCUUUUGGUUAAGAUCAAAGUGAAGUACCUGUUCUUACGAGCUUAAUAUGUGGCAAGUCUCUCAUCGCAGGAUCAGAAUAUUAAACUCAUUUUUGGCUCAUGGCAGAGUGCUACGGCUCGCUCCACCUUUGUCGCGGGUUGGACGGCAUAGCAGUACCGCCGGGGUUUAAAAAAC